CGGAUGUAUCGGGGGUUUAAAAACGACAGCCUGGCCUAACAGAAACAACGGUCGUCUGCGAAACUUGUGCUGUCUUCUGCAAGUACGCUGUCGCUGACACAGUGAAGAGCAUCAACCAAUCAUGAAGGUCCUUCUCCUGUUACUCGUCGUCAUUGGAUUGGCAGCAGCUGAUGCCUGGCGUGAGUGGGGACGUAGAAGUGCUGAUCCCGGUCGCUGCUUUCUAUGCUGAGAGAAGAGGCCACAAAGGGUGACGAGCGACAAUAAAAGUACCUGGUAACCAAGCUCGAAAUGACGGUUUGCUCUUUUUCUUCGUGUCAACCGACCACACAAAUAAACGGCACAUGGAGAGAUUACUAAA
Long non-coding RNA from Ornithodoros turicata, 358 nucleotides. RefSeq lists it as uncharacterized. The transcript has 5 exons. The record is from RefSeq and is a predicted model, not a curated record. Lineage: Eukaryota; Metazoa; Arthropoda; Arachnida; Ixodida; Argasidae.